This 244-nucleotide ribosomal RNA is filed under the name uncultured Staphylococcus sp. RNAcentral describes it as "partial 16S ribosomal RNA". It matches the Rfam family "Bacterial small subunit ribosomal RNA", at positions 96 to 334 of the family's 1533-position model. The record is from RNAcentral. Lineage: Bacteria; Bacillati; Bacillota; Bacilli; Caryophanales; Staphylococcaceae.
CGGCGGACGGGUGAGUAACACGUGGAUAACCUACCUAUAAGACUGGGAUAACUUCGGGAAACCGGAGCUAAUACCGGAUAAUAUAUUGAACCGCAUGGUUCAAUAGUGAAAGACGGUUUUGCUGUCACUUAUAGAUGGAUCCGCGCCGCAUUAGCUAGUUGGUAAGGUAACGGCUUACCAAGGCAACGAUAUGUAGCCGACCUGAGAGGGUGAUCGGCCACACUGGAACUGAGACACGGUCCAG